UAACACCAGGAAGCUGGCAGUAGAAUGGGGCUGUACUGAGGGAGCCUCUAGCCGUUCUCUGGAUGCGGGGGAAGAAUGGGAAAUUAGGUAGAGAGUGUACAGGAGAAGGCACAGGGGAAAAGCAGCAAGGAUUAAGAUGGUGCAAAGUUUGGCUGUUGAUUAGAGGGUCCUUGAGCUAGAACCCAGAAUAGAAGUGGCACCAAUUUGGGCAGUGGCUGGAGGGCCAAGACACCCUGAGUCACAAAGAGAGAGAACACAAAAGGCAGCAGUAUGUGCAGUGAGCAGUAGAAGGGACGUCAGACCUGGAAAGAGAAAAUUCCCAGAUGUGGUGGCCUGGAUACAGAAUAGAGACUGUGCUGAUUGUGUCUGGAGAUGUUGCAAUAACUGGCCUACAAAUUUACCUUAUCUCAACUGUAAAAAAUCACAUCACAUAGAUGAUCAAGAAGUACUGUGCAGCCACAAACUGUCAAGUGUAUGAGCAGUGGAGCAACAAAAGCCACCUGCUUUCCGAGUAAUAACUUUGACCAAACUACCAGAAUAAUGUUGCUACUGCAGGCCUCAUGUCAUCUUGUUAUAAUCAUGUCUUCAUGUGACAUUUCACUGGGGCUGUCUUGCUGCAGCAAAAUCGCAUCACAUUAGAUCUGGUUACGCACAUCAUGGAGCGUGAUAUUUGGGCUUGGAUAUGUCAUUUCUGUUGUUGUUCAGUGCAAGAGUCUGGCUUUAUGGUUUCUAACUCCAGGCUCCCUACAUGGAAUAUUGGUCUAAGUUAAAAUUCAUGACAGAAGAUGUGUGACCAGAUGAGAUGUCACCAUAAUCAGACAUCACAGAUUGAAUUCAAUGUCCUGAAUGAACCUUCCAUACAAGGAUUAGGUAGUACCACACUACAUGCAAAAUAAAAAAAUAUAUGUAGGCCAAAAGACACUAGUGACUCUUUGAUCAGGAUUGGCAUAAUCUAGUGAAUGUUGUAAAUAAACAGGGCAAGCAACCCAAAAGUCUGUCUCUCAACUUCAGCAUAGAACAUGCUGCAGUAAUUGAAGAGCAAAUAAUAAUCCAAUAUUAAUAACCCGAAACUUCACAUCACAAGUGGGUGAGAUGGGCUUCCUUUGCCUUAGCUUCACUAACUAGAGAAUGCACUGAGCAAAAGCCGCUUCUCAGCUUUUCUAAAGAAUUGAUUUGCUAAUUUUAAGAUAUUUUGAUUUAUUUCUAACCUGGUUAUGUGAUAGUUGACCACAAACAAAGUGCAUAAAUAUCCACAAGGAUAUUAUUUCUGGGAUUUUACAGACACUACUUUUACCACAAAAAGAAAUUGUUUUUCAUGCUGUAGGCUUUGAAAGAUGGUAAAGAAAUUUUCCCUGCUAAGAAGGAUUAGUUGAGAAGCAAUCAUUAGAUUUUCUUACUGGCAAAUUGUAGUGGAAUAAGUGUAUUAUUCUGAGAUGUCCCUAGGCACAAUUCUUUGCUGCUUCUGUGUUUGUGCUACCAACAUAUAGAGCAUUAAGUGUUGUUAGGGGUCAGACACAUGACUGCAUAAGAAUAGUACCAAUCUUAAUGGUUCUCUUCUGUGUAUAUAUUCAGAGUCAUAUCUACUAUCUACAGUGACAAAAAAUAUUUUGCUACCUUUUUCCCUAUAGCACUGUGGAACCAAUGCAACUAUGAGAGUCUUAAUUCCAUUUUGACUCCCAGACCAUGAACAGAAUCAUUUAUUUAUGCUUCAGUUGGUAAUCUUUAUUACUAGAGGAGCACAGCUUAACUUUUAGUGGAUCUUAGUGGGGGUUUGUUGGGCUGGUAGUUAGAAAAUACUAUUCUUCUCUCUGUAAACAAAAUAAAUGGAAGUCAAUGAGAGAAUAAAGAUGGAACUACAAAAUACCGUCAUUACAUAUACCGUAAGGACCCACCCAUGCCUCAUGGAAAACUUGUAAAGGUAUUCUGUACAGAGAAAAAAUUAGUCAUGUAUAUUUUCACUGGGUGGGGAGAUUUGAAAGCACUUGAGAACAAGAAUGUUGUUCAAUGAGGAUACAUCUUUUUCUGCUGCUUAUUCUUCAUGUGAAAUCAUAUGUCUUUUCUUUGUAACACUGCAGUCAGUUGCUGUGGAGAUUAUUAUGAUGCCACAGAGAAUGACUAGUCUGCAGCUGACAAAUUAAGAGCUGGAGCAGAUGAACUGCAUUAAUAUAUCUUGUUUAUAUCUUUCAAAAAAUUUACAAACUGCAAGUAGCUGGUGUUUCUAACCUGGUAAAUCUUGAUCUCCCAACUGUUUUCUUAACAUAUCCACAUUGUAUUUAUCUCAACCUGUCUUUCUGACAUCAUCUUGUGCAUGCCCAAUCAUCAGUGAAGCUCCACAUGAUCAAAAAAGAACUCAC
Molecule: long non-coding RNA, 2354 nt
Organism: Chelonia mydas (Green sea turtle)
Lineage: Eukaryota; Metazoa; Chordata; Testudines; Cheloniidae
Exons: 3
Source: RefSeq, a predicted model, not a curated record